GUCUUGCCAAAGGCAUCGCUGGGUAGCUAUGUGUGGACGGGAUAAGUGCUGAAAGCAUCUAAGCAUGAAGCCCCCCUCAAGAUGAGAUUUCCCAUUACGCAAGUAAGUAAGAUCCCUCAAAGACGAUGAGGUAGAUAGGUUCGAGGUGGAAGUGUGGUGACACAUGGAGCUGACGAAUACUAAUCGAUCGAGGACUUAACCAAAA
This 205-nucleotide ribosomal RNA is filed under the name Lysinibacillus xylanilyticus. Its description in RNAcentral is "partial 23S ribosomal RNA". It matches the Rfam family "Bacterial large subunit ribosomal RNA", at positions 2723 to 2925 of the family's 2925-position model. The record is from RNAcentral. Lineage: Bacteria; Bacillati; Bacillota; Bacilli; Caryophanales; Bacillaceae.